This 292-nucleotide ribosomal RNA is filed under the name uncultured microorganism. Its description in RNAcentral is "partial 16S ribosomal RNA". It matches the Rfam family "Bacterial small subunit ribosomal RNA", at positions 505 to 796 of the family's 1533-position model. The record is from RNAcentral.
GUGCCAGCAGCCGCGGUAAUACGAAGGGGGCUAGCGUUGCUCGGAAUCACUGGGCGUAAAGGGCGCGUAGGCGGCCGAUUAAGUCGGGGGUGAAAGCCUGUGGCUCAACCACAGAAUUGCCUUCGAUACUGGUUGGCUUGAGACCGGAAGAGGACAGCGGAACUGCGAGUGUAGAGGUGAAAUUCGUAGAUAUUCGCAAGAACACCAGUGGCGAAGGCGGCUGUCUGGUCCGGUUCUGACGCUGAGGCGCGAAAGCGUGGGGAGCAAACAGGAUUAGAUACCCUGGUAGUCC